Molecule: long non-coding RNA, 649 nt
Filed under: Nicotiana tabacum (common tobacco)
Lineage: Eukaryota; Viridiplantae; Streptophyta; Magnoliopsida; Solanales; Solanaceae
Description: long non-coding RNA (NTAB_LNC003255)
Source: RNAcentral
CAAAUAUGACCUAAGGAACCAUAGUCGCCGCCCCGCCAUGAUCGUUCCUCAUUUUUUGCGUUUUUCGGCCAAAAAACUAGAAUUCCGCGCGAUUCCCAUAUUUUCGUGUGUUAGCCCACGCCUUCCGAGUGGUCCCGGCUCCCCCGGACCCCGAUCGCCUAAAAUUUUUACGGGCCAUCAAAUACGACCUAAGGAACCAUAGUCACCGCCUCGCCAUGAUCGUUCCUCAUUUUUUGCGUUUUUAGGCCAAAAACCUAGAAUUCCGCGCGAUUCCCAUAUUUUCGUAUGUUAUAGCCCACGCCUUCCGAGUGCGCCAAGCCCCCCGGACUGUGAUCGCCUAAAAAAAUUUGGGACAUCAAAUAGGACCUAAGUAAUCAUAGGCACUGCCCCGCCCUGAUCGUUCCUCAUUUUGUACGGUUUUCGGCCAAAAACGUAGAAUUGCGCCCGUUUCCCAUAUUUUCGUGUGCUAUAGCCCACGCCUUCCGAGUGGGCCGGGUCCCCUGAAUCGGAUCGCCUAAAAAUAUUUUUGGGCUAUCAAAUACAACCUAAGGAACCAUAGUCACCGCACCGCCAUGAUCAUUCCUCAUUCUUUGCAUUUUUCGGCCAAAAAACUAGAAUUCUGCCCGAUUCCCAUAUUUUCGUGUGCUAU